Mugil cephalus (flathead mullet) is the source of this 4696-nucleotide long non-coding RNA. RefSeq lists it as uncharacterized. The record is from RefSeq and is a predicted model, not a curated record. The transcript has 8 exons. Lineage: Eukaryota; Metazoa; Chordata; Actinopteri; Mugiliformes; Mugilidae.
AGAGAAGAAGACGGUUUUAGAAGAAACUAAAGAUCUGACAGAGAAAUAUGGGAAGAUUGAAGAAGAGCUGCAGAAAACCAAAGAAGAACUGGAGAACAAGACUGAAGAGGUGGAGAAACAUGUAGAGAUACACAGAAACACUAUCAUUGUGUUAUUGAGGACUUACCUGUGAUCUACAUAACUGUGACUUUGCUUCAUCUACUGGUGAAAUGAUACAACUGCAGGUUUUCUCCUCCUCUCAGGUCAAUGAAUUAAAGGAGAAGAAGAAGCUGCAGGAGGAGAUGGAGACCAGAAAUAAAGAGAUGGAGGAGAUGAAGGAUGAGGUGAAGAACAAGCUCAUAGACGUAGAGAGAAAGGUAGUUUAUUCACACACAUCAUUCUCAUCAGAAACAACAAUACACAGAAAGUUAAAUGUGUCACAAGUCUUGUUUAAACUAAACGAUUUCAUAUGAAUACAUCCUUCAUAUUAACUGUCAAAUGUGUUGUUUAGUCUGACAUGAAGAAAUACAAUCAGUGUGAUAAAAUCUUUUUGUUUGACUUUAAUAAAUUCUUCCAGUUGGAGAAAAACAAAGUUGCUGCUUCCAAGUGUAUCACAUCACACUGGAUAAGUGAUCACAUUAUAAGAACUAUGAUACAAUCUGUUUGUCCAUCAUUUAUAAUCAGUGGUGUGAACAGACAUUUUGGGGCCAGGUGCUCAGUAAAAAUAAGGACACUUUAUGCAGCAUGUAGAACUGACAGCUGCCUUAUUAUAGCAGUGUGAGAUUUUAAAAAUAAAUAAACAUUACAGGCACAUGUUGAAUGUAACUGUAUAUUUAUUUAUGUCAAUAUGUUAAUAAAAUUACUUGACCUUUGAACUGGUACAGUUUCACACUAUAGCGCUGAUCAGUCAGUCACUGUUGUUUUAUUUCUUUGGAAUGAAGGCACAUGAAGAGGUUUUUGGUAAGUUACAAGUUACGAUGAUAGAUCAGUGUACUCUUUUCCUCCCGUCAGAACAAAAGAAGUGUACAAAGUUUCAUUUUGACAUGAGGAGUGAAGAGUGAUCGUCACCACUCUCUAAAGCAGCAUCCUCCUUGGUGCCAUGUCUUUAAAGAGUCUGGUGACCUCAGUAUGAUUUACCUGGAUGUCUUUCUCUAUGGCAGGAGAAGGUCAGAGAGCCGUUCUUCUCCACACAGACUUCUUAGUUUGUUUAUGAUCAUUUUCGGUAAGGCAUAAGACACAAGGCUACUUUUUCUGCAGGCACUUGGGAAUUGCCUGUUUGUAAUUUAGCAAAUAAAUUACUGCAAGUGUUAAUUAUGUACCGUAAUGUAAACCUACACAAUAUACACUAAAUGUUCAUCUUAAGCAAGUAUACUGAUAGAUUCACAUGCAGUACCGGUUCACCCAAUACGUACACUACCCACAUUGCGUAGGGCCUCGAAAACUCAUAGAGGCCCCGUAGGAAAAAAAAAAAAAAAAAUGUGACGACGUGACCGUCCAUCGCAAGAUGAAGCGGAGUUAAAAAAGGAAAAAGAAGCUGCAUGAAAAUGAACAGUGGUAACAGCAGUCAGGUAGCUCUCCUCUCCGGGUGGGAGAGUGGGAGGGACGGGGCUAGUCUGGGUUUGACCUACAUAACAGGGCGGUGAGUCUCCGUGUGCGUCUAACUGGCUUCUACAAUUUAAGUGUUAUAUCAAUCAUUCUGAGUGUAGAUACAACUGCAUGUAUACAAAAUGGAAGUAAUGGAUAAAUAUUUACUAAGACUGAACCCAUGAAAUAUCAUGACAAUGGUGCUAAAUAGGCUAAAUAACUAAAUCACCUACAUUUUAAGUACAGUAUAUGAAGGUAAAACAAGUGCAGCUGAAUUAAUAGUAUCCUUAUCUAUAUUUUACAGGUGCUAUGCUUAAGUUUCUAACAAGCAGCACAGAGUCCAGCCAGUCAGCCAGUGCAGGGACAGAAUCAGAUAGGACAGGCUGGACUGGACCUGUGCUGCUGCCCUUUCAAAGGGACAUUUUUAAUGGUCAAUGAACUAAAGGAGGAGAAGAAGAAGCUGAAGGAGGAGAUGGAGACCAGAAACAAAGAGAUGAAGAAGACAAAAGAUAAGGUGAAGAACAAGCUCAUGAACAUGGAGUUUAGGGGUCAGAUACAAAGAGAACAUCAACACUUUUUACUCAGAUGUUUAUUACAUGAAAAAAUGCACAGAUAAAUAUUUGGCUUCAUAUGAAUCAAAAUGAAUGACACAAAUAUCGAUUAAUAUUGAUUAAAUCAGAAUCUCUUUAUUUGCCAUACGUACAAUGUACACAGAUAUUUCACCUGGUCUAUCAGUGUCACAUACAUUAAAUAAUUUAACUUGACAAGAAAGAAGAAAAAAUGAUAUAUACAAUUUAGAAAGAUAAAGAACUGUAAAUAUACAUGUGAUGCAAUGACCAGAGUAAUUACAGACAAGAAAUGUCUGUUGCUGUGGAUGGUGCAUGCAGAAAUGGGGUUGUGUGCUACUGUUUUAAGUGUCUAAGGGAAUGGUUGGGGUAGGGGUCUGGGAGGGUUUGUUGAGGAGAGAGAUGGUCUGGUUCUGGUCCUGAUGGACCUGAACCUGGGACCUGAUUGGAGUGUAGUGAACAGGCAGUGAGCAGGUUCCGGUCUGUUCUUGGUGUGGGCAGAGGAUGUGGGGUACCACACAGUGAUGGAGGAGCUGAGGACACUUUUGAUGGUGUCUCUGUAGAACUGGGUGAGGACCUUGGGGAAGACGUUCAUCUUGGAUUCCUCCGGAAUAACAGACACUAAAAACACAUCAACAAACUGAAUUAAAUAUCUGCUUCUUCAUCUAAGUCCAACAAGAAGCUCAACCAUGAGAAGACACAGUAGAAGAAACAUCAGAGAGAAAUGAAGGAGCUGGAAAUAUAGAACACAGAAGUUCAUGUCAUCUGAGUUGGUAACUUCAGCUCAAAUUGUGUCCCUGUUCCUCUCAGUGAGGUUUAUUGUCAUGUGGUUUUCAUUGAGCCAACAUUCUCAGGUCUAAUCAGGGUCUAAUGUGGUCUACAAGGUCCACCUAUGAAUGAACUCUGAGCAGAACUGGUUUAUUAGGGACCAUGAAGAAGAAGUCUCCUGAUGUUGUCUAAGAUGAUAAUGUGUAUUUUGAUCAGUGUCUGAAUCAGCUCUGAUGUUCUGAUGCUCUAAAUACAUGUUUACAUUUGUUCACCACUUACAGGCAAGGAACAAUAUAUAGCAUUACCAUAUAUGGUAAAUUCAUUGACCUUGAUUUUCAACUUGAAAAUUAAAAGAUGUGAAAAAUUCACAAAGAGUAAAAAAUUCUUCUGACUUUCUACAAUAACAAUCUGGGGUUGAAAUUCUGAAUUUCCAUGUGUAACUUACAAAGGGUUCAGAAUCUGAACUUUAUCUUCUCUCUCCCCUCACGUAAAUGAACUAAAGGAGAAGAAGAAGAAGCUGCAGGAGGAGCUAGAGACCAGAAAGAAAGAGAUGGAGGAGAAAGAGAAGAAGCUCAAAGACAUGGAGAGAGAAGUAUUUUAUUCACACACAUCAUUCUCAUCACAAACAACAAAACUCAGAGAAACAUGUAAAGUCCAGAAAUACAACCAGAGGUGGGUAGAGUAGCCAAAAAUUGUACUCAAGUAAAAGUACUGUUACUUCAGAAUAAUAUGACUCAAGUAAAAGUAAAAAGUAGUCAUCCAAAUAAUUUCUUGAGUAAGAGUAAAAAGUGCUUGGUGAAAAAACUACUCAAGUACUGAGUAACUAUUGAGUAACUUCUGAUUUAUUUGUGAACACAAGCAUUCAAUCAGACGGACCAAAAUAAAAUUAGAGGUAAUCCAAUCAAUAAAAUAAAUUAAAAUAAAUUAAUUAAUUACAAAAAGGUUUAAAUUAAAAUAAUCCAGGUAAAUUCACAACCUUUGUGUUUUUUCACCAGGCUUCUUCUCUUUCUGUCUCCUCUCUCCUCAGGUAGAUGAUAGAAAGUACCUCAUGGAUGGAAAGAGAGAAGUACAAACACACAGAAACAUCAACCUGAAGCACUUUUUAAUUCAAUGUUUAUUAUGAAUAAAAUAUGAAACAAAAUUAUUUAAUUCAUGUCAAUGAGUGCAACAAAUGAAAUCUGUCUUCAUCUCUUCUUUCUACCAGUUAAUAAAGCAGAUCAACCAACAGGAAGAGAAACAUCAGAGAGAAAUAAAGGAGCUGGAAACAAAGUGGGAGAAGAAGCUCAAAGAGGAGGAGAAGAAAAGAGAAAGAGCUGAGAAAGAAGUGAAGACAAAGAAGAGGAAACAGGAGACUGAGGUUUGUCUGUUUCUCCUGAGAAUCAUCAAAUCAUUUUUCUAUUUUCUAUCAGAUUGUGGACAGCACAGAUGGUUCUAAAACUGAAGUGUUGCUCAUUGGUUCUGAAACCAGAGACAGAAACUCAGCAGGAAACUGGAAGAACUGGGAAGAAACUUAGAGUCAGAUCUCAUAUCUGAGGUUCACAUUAAAAACCUGAACAUCCACAGUAUCAAGAUAAGAACAUAGGAACAAAGAGAUGGAGGAGAUAAAAGAUGAGUUGGAGAAAAACAAAGCUGCUGCUUCCACUUCUAUCUGGCCUUUCAGGCAUCCAGAGAUCUACAACGAUCCGAUGGAAGUGGAGGAGGUAGAUGAAAGAAAGAACCUCAUGGAUGGAACGAGAGAAUUCAUGAAGCAGAUCAACCAACAGGAAGGGAAACAUCAGAGAGAAAUAAAGGAGCUGGAG